CGGUAUGUAAUACGAAUUAUCCGGGACC
RNAcentral lists this small RNA (28 nucleotides) under Bombyx mori (domestic silkworm). RNAcentral describes it as "ovarian small RNA-4917". Lineage: Eukaryota; Metazoa; Arthropoda; Insecta; Lepidoptera; Bombycidae. The record is from RNAcentral.